Molecule: ribosomal RNA, 474 nt
Filed under: uncultured bacterium
Lineage: Bacteria
Description: partial 16S ribosomal RNA
Rfam family: Bacterial small subunit ribosomal RNA
Source: RNAcentral
GACGAACGCUGGCGGCGUGCUUAACACAUGCAAGUCGAGCGGUAAGGCUCCUUCGGGAGUACACGAGCGGCGAACGGGUGAGUAACACGUGAGUAAUCUGCCCUUCACUUCGGGAUAACCACCGGAAACGGUGGCUAAUACCGAAUACGGCCAGUCUUCGCAUGAGGUGCUGGUGGAAAGUCUUUUCGGUGAAGGAUGUGCUCGCGGCCUAUCAGCUUGUUGGUGGGGUAAUGGCCUACCAAGGCUUCGACGGGUAGCCGGCCUGAGAGGGUGACCGGCCACACUGGGACUGAGACACGGCCCAGACUCCUACGGGAGGCAGCAGUGGGGAAUAUUGGACAAUGGGCGAAAGCCUGAUCCAGCAACGCCGCGUGAGGGAUGACGGCCUUCGGGUUGUAAACCUCUUUCAGUACCGACGAAGCGCCCUGUCGGGUGGUGACGGUAGGUACAGAAGAAGGACCGGCCAACUACGUG